ACCCAAGAGGGCAGUAAAGGUGCUGAAAGCUGUGAGAAAGCAGAUAUCUCCUGUCCUGAAAAAGGCACAUCUUAAUGUUACAAAAACAGUAGAGGUUUCUGAAGGUCCUAAGCUGAAAGCCAAAGCUGAACCAGAAAAGAAGGUGGCAGCUCCAAAACAGCCGAAGGAACUGAAAGAAAAAACCAAACCACCUGUAAAGACAGAACUUCCAAAAGAAAAAGCUAAAGCAGCACCUGCUAAGAAAG
Molecule: non-coding RNA, 245 nt
Organism: Labrus bergylta (ballan wrasse)
Lineage: Eukaryota; Metazoa; Chordata; Actinopteri; Labriformes; Labridae
Source: RefSeq, a predicted model, not a curated record